This 552-nucleotide ribosomal RNA is filed under the name uncultured archaeon. RNAcentral describes it as "bacterial SSU rRNA". It matches the Rfam family "Archaeal small subunit ribosomal RNA", at positions 325 to 879 of the family's 1478-position model. The record is from RNAcentral.
ACGGGGAGCAGCAGGCGCGAAACCUCUGCAAUGGGCGAAAGCCUGACAGGGUUACUCUGAGUGAUUUCCGCUAAGGGAAUCUUUUGGCACCUCUAAAAAUGGUGCAGAAUAAGGGGUGGGCAAGUCUGGUGUCAGCCGCCGCGGUAAUACCAGCACCCCGAGUGGUCGGGACGAUUAUUGGGCCUAAAGCAUCCGUAGCCGGUCUUACAAGUCUUCCGUUAAAUCCACCUGCUUAACAGAUGGGCUGCGGAGGAUACUAUAAGGCUAGGAGGCGGGAGAGGCAAGCGGUACUCAGUGGGUAGGGGUAAAAUCCUCUGAUCCAUUGAAGACCACCAGUGGCGAAGGCGGCUUGCCAGAACGCGCUCGACGGUGAGGGAUGAAAGCUGGGGGAGCAAACCGGAUUAGAUACCCGGGUAGUCCCAGCUGUAAACGAUGCAGACUCGGUGAUGGGCCGGCUUUAUGCCAGCUCAGUGCCGCAGGGAAGCCGUUAAGUCUGCCGCCUGGGGAGUACGGUCGCAAGACUGAAACUUAAAGGAAUUGGCGGGGGAGCAC